RNAcentral lists this ribosomal RNA (253 nucleotides) under uncultured prokaryote. RNAcentral describes it as "partial 16S ribosomal RNA". It matches the Rfam family "Bacterial small subunit ribosomal RNA", at positions 524 to 776 of the family's 1533-position model. The record is from RNAcentral.
UACGGAGGGUGCAAGCAUUGAUCGGAAUUACUGGGCGUAAAGGGCGCGUAGGCGGUUCAGAAAGUCAGAUGUGAAAUUCCGGGGCUCAACCCCGGAGCUGCAUUUGAAACUUCUAAACUAGAGUUUAGUUAGGGAAAACGGAAUUCCACGUGUAGCGGUGAAAUGCGUAGAUAUGUGGAAGAACACCGGUGGUGAAGACGGUUUUCUGGGCUAAGACUGACGCUGAGGCGCGAAAGCAAGGGGAGCAAACAGG